Molecule: ribosomal RNA, 113 nt
Filed under: Phellinus robustus
Lineage: Eukaryota; Fungi; Basidiomycota; Agaricomycetes; Hymenochaetales; Hymenochaetaceae
Description: partial 28S ribosomal RNA
Source: RNAcentral
AGACUGUCUGCUUCCAAUAGUCCGUCUAUGUGUUGGACAGGUACUCUGUUACCUUGACCCAUUUGACCUCAAAUCAGGUAGGACUACCCGCUGAACUUAAGCAUAUCAAUAAG